UGGGGGGGUGCUAUACAUGCAGUCGAGCGGACAGAUGGGAGCUUGCUCCCUGAUGUUAGCGGCGGACGGGUGAGUAACACGUGGGUAACCUGCCUGUAAGACUGGGAUAACUCCGGGAAACCGGGGCUAAUACCGGAUGGUUGUUUGAACCGCAUGGUUCAGACAUAAAAGGUGGCUUCGGCUACCACUUACAGAUGGACCCGCGGCGCAUUAGCUAGUUGGUGAGGUAACGGCUCACCAAGGCGACGAUGCGUAGCCGACCUGAGAGGGUGAUCGGCCACACUGGGACUGAGACACGGCCCAGACUCCUACGGGAGGCAGCAGUAGGGAAUCUUCCGCAAUGGACGAAAGUCUGACGGAGCAACGCCGCGUGAGUGAUGAAGGUUUUCGGAUCGUAAAGCUCUGUUGUUAGGGAAGAACAAGUGCCGUUCAAAUAGGGCGGCACCUUGACGGUACCUAACCAGAAAGCCACGGCUAACUACGUGCCAGCAGCCGCGGUAAUACGUAGGUGGCAAGCGUUGUCCGGAAUUAUUGGGCGUAAAGGGCUCGCAGGCGGUUUCUUAAGUCUGAUGUGAAAGCCCCCGGCUCAACCGGGGAGGGUCAUUGGAAACUGGGGAACUUGAGUGCAGAAGAGGAGAGUGGAAUUCCACGUGUAGCGGUGAAAUGCGUAGAGAUGUGGAGGAACACCAGUGGCGAAGGCGACUCUCUGGUCUGUAACUGACGCUGAGGAGCGAAAGCGUGGGGAGCGAACAGGAUUAGAUACCCUGGUAGUCCACGCCGUAAACGAUGAGUGCUAAGUGUUAAGGGGGUUUCCGCCCCUUAGUGCUGCAGCUAACGCAUUAAGCACUCCGCCUGGGGGAGUACGGUCGCAAGACUGAAACUCAAAGGAAUUGACGGGGGCCCGCACAAGCGGUGGAACCAUGUUGGUUUAAUUCGAAGCAACGCGAAGAACCUUACCAGGUCUUGACAUCCUCUGACAAUCCUAGAAGAUAGGACGUCCCCCUUCGGGGGCAGAGUGACAGGUGGUGCCAGGGUUGUCGUCAGCUCGUGUCGUGAAAAAGGUUGGGGUUAAGUCCCCGCAACGAGCGCAACCCUUGGAUCUUAGUUGCCAG
This 1112-nucleotide ribosomal RNA is filed under the name Bacillus amyloliquefaciens. Its description in RNAcentral is "bacterial SSU rRNA". It matches the Rfam family "Bacterial small subunit ribosomal RNA", at positions 37 to 1121 of the family's 1533-position model. Lineage: Bacteria; Bacillati; Bacillota; Bacilli; Caryophanales; Bacillaceae. The record is from RNAcentral.